UUAGAUUGUAACAGAAGAGUUUAACCUCUUUAAAAAGUUAUAGUGGAGUGGAUGUGAUACUAAUGAGGCAAAAUCUUUAGCUGAUUAUUUUGGUAUCACCAAGACUCACAGCAACUUGACUAGUAGCUUCUGGUGGCCAAAUAUGAAAUUGGAUGAUGUUAAUUUUGUAAAAUGUUGUGAUAUUUGCCAGCGUAGCAACACAAGAUUUGACAAAACUAACAAUGAGCUGCAUUCAAUUCUUAUUCCAACAAAGAUGAGAAUAGCGGAGAGCAUUUUUGUCGAGGAACAAUAUCGAGGAACAUUAGCGAGGAACAUUAGCGAGGAACAUUAUCGAGGAACAUUAUGAAAGAAAUAACGAGGAACAUUAUUGAGG
Molecule: long non-coding RNA, 373 nt
Organism: Gordionus sp. m RMFG-2023
Lineage: Eukaryota; Metazoa; Nematomorpha; Gordioida; Chordodea; Parachordodidae
Exons: 3
Source: RefSeq, a predicted model, not a curated record